Long non-coding RNA from Crotalus tigris (Tiger rattlesnake), 1099 nucleotides. RefSeq lists it as uncharacterized. NCBI's taxonomy places the organism in Eukaryota, Metazoa, Chordata, Lepidosauria, Squamata, Viperidae. The transcript is spliced from 3 exons. The record is from RefSeq and is a predicted model, not a curated record.
CCGAAGUGAGCGGACGGGAGAUUGUAUUUGAUGGGGCACAAUGGCUUUUUCAGUAACCUCUAGUCUUCCCGGUGGACAGUUGAAUAGGGGAUUUGCCAGGUGGCUCUCUUCUGGAAGGGAUUGUCACUUUCCCCAGCGAAUGAAUAACCAAAUGAGCAUGCUCUCCAAAAAUGGUUAUACAACUCCCCCAAAACAAUGAAGGAAGAAUGCAAUUUAUGAAAUGCAGCUUUAUGAAAAGUUUACUGAAACCAGUAUAUAUGUACCGGACAAGAACCGCACCAGGCCCUGUUAAUGAUGACGAAUAUGAGGUACAAGAGAUACUUGACUCCUGUAUUAAGCAACGUAAAUUGUAUUAUCUGAUUAGAUGGAAAGGUUACCCUUUAGCAGAGGCUACAUGGGUACGGGCUGAUAAUGUACAAGCUCCUCGCUUAGUUAAAAAAUUCCAUGUACAAAAUCCCGGAAAACCAGGAACCAUUAACACAGUGAGGGUCGGGAAGGUGGACGUGUGUGAACCAAAGUAACAUGUUUUGUCUUUCCUCCAGGGGGAGCCCUGGUGAAGGGGGGCAGUAUGUCGGGCCGUAGCAGAGGCUGCCCUGGUUACCUGCUCUGAAUGCACCCCGACUCUCCAGGCGCGCGUCCCGAUGGCCCGACAUCCAGCUGACUGGCGGGCAUGCGCGGAAAGCGCUCUGAUGACCAGCUGGCCUUGCCGGCUCUCCACAUGCGCAGACGAUGACCAGCACCCUACAACACAUGCGCAGAUGGUUGAAAGGGCUAGAACUGCCCAGUGCUCAUGCACGGACGCCGAGAUGAAGCCAAUGACAGCAAAUGAAGCAAUACAAGCUGCCGAAGCGUCGGGAAGCCGUCGAAGCGUCGGGAAGCGUCAGGAGGCGGCAGCUGAAGGCUAGCAUAAUCGGGAUGAGUGCCCAUAUAUGGGUAUGUAGGGCGGUCCGGAAGAGGGUGGUGGUGCCUGGGUGUUAACGUGGGUGUGGGCUAGGCGGGGUAUCUUUGCAUUGUAUAAAAGAACCAUGACUGUAAUGGUUGUCAGUGCUGACUUUAAACCACAUUUUUGCUGUAAUAAAGUGAAGUUCUUUGUUCCUGA